GCAAGUCGAACGAACUUCUUCGGAAGUGAGUGGCGGACGGGUGAGUAACGCGUGAGUAUCUGCCCAAAGGUGGGGGACAACCAUUGGAAACGAUGGCUAAUACCCCAUAUGCCGAGAGGUGAAAGGUUUACUGCCUUAUGAGCUCGCGUCUGAUUAGCUAGAUGGUGGGGUAACGGCUUACCAUGGCGACGAUCAGUAGCUGGUCUGAGAGGAUGAUC
RNAcentral lists this ribosomal RNA (218 nucleotides) under uncultured bacterium. RNAcentral describes it as "partial 16S ribosomal RNA". It matches the Rfam family "Bacterial small subunit ribosomal RNA", at positions 57 to 305 of the family's 1533-position model. The record is from RNAcentral.